Molecule: ribosomal RNA, 253 nt
Filed under: uncultured bacterium
Lineage: Bacteria
Description: partial 16S ribosomal RNA
Rfam family: Bacterial small subunit ribosomal RNA
Source: RNAcentral
UACGGGGGGAGCAAGCGUUGUUCGGAUUUACUGGGCGUAAAGGGUGCGUAGGCGGUCGCGUAAGUCGGAUGUGAAAUCUCAGGGCUCAACCCUGAAACUGCAUUCGAUACUGCGUGGCUAGGGUACUGGAGAGGAGACUGGAAUUUACGGUGUAGCAGUGAAAUGCGUAGAUAUCGUAAGGAAGACCAGUGGCGAAGGCGAGUCUCUGGACAGUUACCGACGCUGAGGCACGAAGGCCAGGGGAGCAAACGGG